ACUCAAAGGAAUUGACGGGGACCCACACAAGCGGUGGAACAUGGGGUUUAAUUCGAUAGUAAACGGAGAACCUCACCCAGGCUUGACAUCUCGGGAACCUGGUCGAAAGGCCGGGGUGCCGCAAGGAACCCGAAGACAGGCGCUGCACGGUUGUCGUCAGCUCGUGCCUUGAGGUGUACUGUUAAGUCAGCGAACGAGCGCAACCCUCAUCCUAUGUUGUUUUUUCAUGGGAGACUGCCGCCUCCAAGGCGGAGGAAGGUGAGGAUGACGUCAAAUCAGCGUGGCCCUUAUGCCUGGGGCUACACCCAUGUUACAAUGACCGAUACAAUGGGCAGCAAACCAGCAAUGGUAAGCGAAUCCCACCAAAGUCGGCCUCAGUUCGGAUUGCAGGCUGCAACUCGCCUGCAUGAAGUUGGAAUCGCUAGUAACCGUGAAUCAGCGAUGUCACGGUGAAUAUGUUCCUGGGUCUUGUACACACCGCCCGU
Molecule: ribosomal RNA, 485 nt
Filed under: uncultured bacterium
Lineage: Bacteria
Description: partial 16S ribosomal RNA
Rfam family: Bacterial small subunit ribosomal RNA
Source: RNAcentral